UGUUUCACAAAUUGCUAACGUGCCCAGAAGAUGGAAGCCCAGCUGCAGAACACAUGAGUUCAGACUCCUGCCCGAGCCUCGUGUUUCAUGAUGACCUCAACUUCCUGUGCUGAAUGGGAACCCAUGCGAUUUGAUGACAGAUUGUUUACCCGAAUCCUGAAAGAAAGGAUGAAAAUGAAAGAUGUGUCAAUAGAGCCAGCUUGCUGACCACCUGCACCUUCUGACAUAUGAAAGGCACAGAAAAAUCUACAAAGGUGGCACUUCAUGAUGAAGCUGGAUGGAUGUGUCGAUCAAUAUACAAAGAAGUAAGAAAUCUGAAGAAGAGCCGAUGUUCUCCAAAGUCUUGAGGCUAAGAAAAGAAUGAUAGCCUAUAUGGUCAGAAUGUCUGGAUGAUUCCUGUGCCGCUUUGCUGUGGUUUAAACUCCCACUGAUGCUGGACUGCCACCAUCUGAUCUGGACUCCCGUGGUUCUAGUGUUCCUGCUCACAGUCACAGUGAAUUUCUUGGCCUUUGACCUGUAUUUCUCUAAGUGUAGGCUACUGCUUCUGAAACAUGUUGCAUCAGUUAAGAUGCAGAGCCCCCCCAGCAAGCAGUGACCAUCUGAGCUGACUUCUCUUGCGACUGUGAAGACCCCAUUGCUUACUUGUCUCUCCUGAGGACCGCUCUGGCUGUUUGGUCAGGAGAGAGCUG
Long non-coding RNA from Mus musculus (house mouse), 689 nucleotides. RefSeq annotates it as predicted gene, 29872. Lineage: Eukaryota; Metazoa; Chordata; Mammalia; Rodentia; Muridae. The record is from RefSeq and is a predicted model, not a curated record. The transcript is spliced from 5 exons.